CAAGGCCCACGCAGUCUUAAGCACAUACACACAGUCAACUACACACACUGACGGCACACUCACACAUUCACAGACAAUUUAAGAUUAGUCUCAGAUGAGCACACACUAACACACUCAUCCAGUGGUGAGUUUGGGAGAGUGAGGAGGAAUUCCGGCCUUUGAGCCAUGCUUGUUUGGUGUCAGGAGGGACUUGGGAUUCAGGGGCUCAGCCACUGCCCUGUCUGCCCACCACCUAGUUUCAGCAGACAACCCCCCAUUUUGGAGAUCCCUGGAGGCAGGCUGGGGAUGAGAGGAAUGAUGCAGCCCCCUGUGUCCUGCCCAGGUCAGCAUCGGCUGCCCAGAGAAGAUGGAGCCCAUCACCAAGAUCUCGCAUAUCCCAGCCAGCCGCUGGGCUCUGUCCUGCAGCCUCUGCAAGGAAUGCACAGGCACCUGCAUCCAGUGUUCCAUGCCUUCCUGCGUCACAGCGUUCCAUGUCACGUGCGCCUUUGACCACGGCCUGGAAAUGCGGACUAUAUUAGCAGACAACGAUGAGGUCAAGUUCAAGUCAUUCUGCCAGGAGCACAGUGACGGGGGCCCACGUAAUGAGCCCACAUCUGAGCCCACGGAACCCAGCCAGGCUGGCGAGGACCUGGAAAAGGUGACCCUGCGCAAGCAGCGGCUGCAGCAGCUAGAGGAGGACUUCUACGAGCUGGUGGAGCCGGCUGAGGUGGCUGAGCGGCUGGACCUGGCUGAGGCGCUGGUCGACUUCAUCUACCAGUACUGGAAGCUGAAGAGGAAAGCCAAUGCCAACCAGCCGCUGCUGACCCCCAAGACCGACGAGGUGGACAACCUGGCCCAGCAGGAGCAGGACGUCCUCUACCGCCGCCUGAAGCUCUUCACCCAUCUGCGGCAGGACCUAGAGAGGGUUAGAAAUCUGUGCUACAUGGUGACAAGGCGCGAGAGAACGAAACACGCCAUCUGCAAACUCCAGGAGCAGAUAUUCCACCUGCAGAUGAAACUUAUUGAACAGGAUCUGUGUCGAGGUAGGCGCCUUCCCCACCUGCCGCCGCCACCUCCGUGUGCCCUGUCUUGCGGGGCUGGGUCCCAAGGAGGGUGUGUCUUUGGAUCCUGGUGGGGGUAUGUGGGUGGAGCCAAGGGCCACUGGCCCCCACUCCUACCCUUCACCAUCCAAUUAGUAGGCCCAGACGGGGGCCUGCAAGGGUCCUGAGUUGUGCGUCACUAGGCAGAGAGCCAGAGGUUUGAAUGUGGGCAUCAGGCCUGCCCUCAGGGAGCUUUCUGGUUGACUAGGCCACAGCAGUUCAGGAGCUGAUUGCAUGUGAACAGGUACAGAGAAGAAGUCCUAGUGGCUCUCUGCUGGUGCUGAGGCAGGAAGGGCCAGAAGCUGGUGAGCUUCCCUGAACCCUGGUGUGCCUGGGAGUCAGUUCCGAAGAAGGCAGCUGCCCCAGAGAUGUGACAGGACCUGGCUGUUGUUUCUCUCUGACCCUAACAGGAUUUAUGCCCUGCAUCCGCGGUGUUUUUCACUGUUUUAUUCUUAUUAUUCUUAUUCUCUUGGCGUCACAUGCGUUUAAUGGAUCUGGAAAUCAAAGGCUGAAGGAAGCGCUGACAUUGAUCGUAUCUGUUAAUUGUGGAUAUUGCCAGACACAGGGCCCUUCUUGGAGCGUAUACAUGUUAAGAAGGGCAACAUUUAGCCCCCAAAACGGUACCCCAGUGUUGCGUUUACAUGCAGCAGAAAUAGCUGGAUGGAGAGAGAUUUUGAGCCAGGGUCUGCCAAUGCCACUUCAGCCUCAGGGCUGAGCUGGGCCUGGAGAGGAAAGCUGCUGAGCCACCGUUGGAGCAAAUGACUGAGGACCUCUGCUGCCCCUACUUCUGCCCGAGAGCUGAGCUGACCUGAUUGUGCUUUGGCAUCACCACCCACUCUGGCCCCAACAUCUAGCCUUGCCAAGUUCAGGUGCUAGUCAUGACCAUGUAGAGUUCACCGUGUACCCAAAGACUGUGGCAGCUUCCUGGCUGCUGGAGCUUUCCAGGCCCCCUGUCUUCUGUUUAUUCACUCAGCCAGCAUUAACUGAGCAUGGACUGGAUAGGGUUGCUGCCCUUGUGGAAUGCACCAUCUGGAGAGAGAGAGGAAUGUGGUAUCGCAGAGGCUACAGUUGCUGCCAGUUUAGGGAUAGAAGUAUCAGGGAUGUCUUCCCAGAAGCAGUGAUGCUCCAACAACAUCUCAGGCACUUGGCUGUGGCCACAUAUCGGCUGCAGAAGGAGAAGCCCAUGCAAGGCACCCACAGUUGAGGAAGCAGAGGGUGGCAAGCCACGAGCAGUGCCCUCAGGCACAGGAUUCCAGAAGCAUGGGCAAGAGCCUGGAGGGUCCACAUCCCCACAUUGGUUCUGGGGACAUUUGCAACUCCUUGUCUUGAGUGUCAACAACAGGCAGCUCUUUGUUCAGGGCAGGGCAGGGUAUUUGGAGACGACUGGUUUGCCCUGUCCAAAGCUGCUGCUCACACUGUUGAGAGGCUUGACGCCUGGGGUGGGACAUGGGCUGUGUGCAUAUCGGCGAGGCUGUCUGGCCUGGCGGCUGGACAAAGCCUCCUAGUGGAGAUGAUAUUUGGCCUGUGAACUGAAUCAGGCGAAGGAUAGGACAAGAAAACAGCAUAUUUGGAGACUUAGUGGCCAGAGCAUGUCUUGGCAGAGAAACUGGAAGGAGGCUGGAAUGGCUGCACCAGGCAGAAGGAAGACUCCUAAAGUGGGGAUGACGGGUAACCUGGGUCACAUGUGCGAGAUCUUCUUGUAGCCUGGGGGAGGAGCUUACACGGUCCUAAGAGCAGUGGGAAGCCUCAGGAGCCUGCCUCUAGAGUAUCUAGGCAUUAGUUACAUGCCAUGUUACAGAUGAGAUUGCCCAGGCACAGUGGCUCAUGCCUAAAAUCCCAGCACUUUGGGAGACCACAGUGGGAAGAUCGCUUGAAGCCAGGACUUCCAGACCAGCCUGUCUCUACAAAAAAAAAAAAAAA
This 2999-nucleotide small RNA is filed under the name Pan troglodytes (chimpanzee). RNAcentral describes it as "retained intron". Lineage: Eukaryota; Metazoa; Chordata; Mammalia; Primates; Hominidae. The record is from RNAcentral.